GAUGAACGCUGGCGGCGUGCCUAAUACAUGCAAGUCGAGCGAACAGACGAGGAGCUUGCUCCUCUGUCGUUAGCGGCGGACGGGUGAGUAACACGUGGAUAACCUACCUAUAAGACUGGGAUAACUUCGGGAAACCGGAGCUAAUACCGGAUAACAUGUUGAACCGCAUGGUUUAACAGUGAAAGACGGUCUUGCUGUCACUUAUAGAUGGAUCCGCGCCGCAUUAGCUAGUUGGUAAGGUAACGGCUUACCAAGGCAACGAUGCGUAGCCGACCUGAGAGGGGGAUCGGCCACACUGGAACUGAGACACGGUCCAGACUCCUAAGGGAGGCAGCAGUAGGGAAUCUUCCGCAAUGGGCGAAAGCCUGACGGAGCAACGCCGCGUGAGUGAAGAAGGUCUUCGGAUCGUAAAACUCUGUUAUUAGGGAAGAACAAAUGUGUAAGUAACUAUGCACGUCUUGACGGUACCUAAUCAGAAAGCCACGGCUAACUACGUG
Molecule: ribosomal RNA, 497 nt
Filed under: uncultured bacterium
Lineage: Bacteria
Description: partial 16S ribosomal RNA
Rfam family: Bacterial small subunit ribosomal RNA
Source: RNAcentral